AAACGUUAACUUUUAGAAUUAUAAAAGCCUACACUAUAAUUAAAAAUAAUGAUAGGUAAUCACCACAAAUAUUUUUCUAUUCAUGAAAAUACGUCGAGAACAAUUAUAAAUGUAUUAACAAAUAUUUUAUACAUUGAAAGUUUUAGUUUUAAAUUUUACUGUUAUAUAAUCAAGCCCCUGAUAAAUUACUUUUCUAGAUCCGCUACUGCAUCUAAUGGUGCAAGGGAAAUUUGGUAGUUCAUUCUUUUGUUAAUUAAUUAAAAAAAUCUUCACUUUCUCUCUCUGUUUCCUUUUUCGCUCUUCUUUAUCUUCUUUUUUGCUUAUUCAUCUUCUUCUUCUUUUUCUCCUUCUUUGCUUUUUGUUCGUCUUCUUCUCCAUUUCUUCAUUGUUUUCAUAUAACCAAGUGACGAACAUUACUGCCGCAACACAGCGUCACAUAACUUUGGCAUGACGUCAACUUCCACAUUGCCACCACGUGACCUAGCGCGUUAGCUGCUUCCAUUUGCCACACAUUUGACGUUGUCCAUGCCACCACCCAUAGCUGCCACAGCCCUUAGUUCUUUUUAAAAUUUAAAUCUCAAUUUAACUCCCAACUCAUGUGACAUUCAAUUAUUGAAUGUGAUUAAGUGAUUUUAUAAAUUAUAAAAUUUAUAAUCAAACAAAUAAGUGAUAAUUGGUACUACAACUCAACUUGAGAAUAAAAUAUUAUUAUCGAUUAAAAUUGAUUAAAGAUAUAUGAGUUUACUAAUUUAUAAAUUCUGUAAGCUAUAACUCACUCACAAACUUAAUUGCCCACAACCAAACACUAUUCAUGUGAGGGCUGUACCUUACAAAAUCUGUAAGGUAGCCCUCUCCAAAGAUAUAAAGUACUGAUAUUCUCAGUCACAUGACCGUCCAUCUCAUAACAUUAUGAACCAAUUAGAAUAAAUUGAUAAUUAUUCAUAGUUAACAAAUAAUGAUUGUAUAUGUGGAGACGAAAGUUAUAGAUCUUGGUGAUCCCCGCACUCAGUUGAUGAGUCAUGAAAUAAUUCCUUCACGCACCUUGACAUAUAUAAAGUAAGAUAACAUCUACAACUAACUAGUAAUUAAACGCGAAGUUCAUGGAUGUUGAUUCUAUUCUCGUGAACCAAGUAACUAUGUAAGUAUGUGUUCAUGCUAAUAAGAAAUAAUUGAAAUGAAAUUCAUUCAAAAACUAAUUAAAAAAAGAAAAAGAAAACAGAAAUAAUAUAUUAAGUCUAUACUAUAAUUAUCUUCUUUUUUUAAUGAGCAUUCUUUCUCUAUUAUUUUGAGUAUUUACAUGAGAACCAAAGUCAUCGGCUCAACCAUAUUUUAUCCCUGAGGCAAAUUAUU
This 1350-nucleotide long non-coding RNA is filed under the name Citrus x clementina. RNAcentral's name for it is "Citrus clementina (C. clementina) long non-coding RNA (CCLE_LNC002689)". The record is from RNAcentral. Lineage: Eukaryota; Viridiplantae; Streptophyta; Magnoliopsida; Sapindales; Rutaceae.